CUACGGGGCGCAGCAGUGAGGAAUAUUGGGCAAUGGGCGGGAGCCUGACCCAGCCAUGCCGCGUGCAGGAUGACGGCCCUACGGGUUGUAAACUGCUUUUGCACGGGAAGAACGGCCCCGACGUGUCGGGGAUUGACGGUACCGUGCGAAUAAGCACCGGCUAACUCCGUGCCAGCGGCCGCGGUAAUACGGAGGGUGCAGGCGUUAUCCGGAUUUAUUGGGUUUAAAGGGUGCGUAGGCGGAACUGUAAGUCAGUGGUGAAAUCCCCCCGCUCAACGGGGGAACUGCCAUUGAUACUGGGUUCUUGAGUACAGACGAGGUAGGCGGAAUGUGUCAUGUAGCGGUGAAAUGCUUAGAUAUGACCCAGAACACCGAUUGCGAAGGCAGCUUGCUAGACUGUAACUGACGCUGAUGCACGAAAGCGUGGGUAGCGAACAGGAUUAGAUACCCUAGUAGUC
This 458-nucleotide ribosomal RNA is filed under the name uncultured bacterium. Its description in RNAcentral is "partial 16S ribosomal RNA". It matches the Rfam family "Bacterial small subunit ribosomal RNA", at positions 339 to 795 of the family's 1533-position model. The record is from RNAcentral.